Molecule: ribosomal RNA, 492 nt
Filed under: uncultured bacterium
Lineage: Bacteria
Description: partial 16S ribosomal RNA
Rfam family: Bacterial small subunit ribosomal RNA
Source: RNAcentral
AGUGAACGCUGGCGGUAGGCCUAACACAUGCAAGUCGAACGGCAGCACAGUAAGAGCUUGCUCUUACGGGUGGCGAGUGGCGGACGGGUGAGGAAUACAUCGGAAUCUACUUUUUCGUGGGGGAUAACGUAGGGAAACUUACGCUAAUACCGCAUACGACCUACGGGUGAAAGCAGGGGAUCUUCGGACCUUGCGCGAUUGAAUGAGCCGAUGUCGGAUUAGCUAGUUGGCGGGGUAAAGGCCCACCAAGGCGACGAUCCGUAGCUGGUCUGAGAGGAUGGACAGCCAGCCUGGAACUGAGACACGGCCGAGACUCUUACAGGAGGACGCAGCGGGGAAUCCUGCACGAUGGGGCAAAGCCUGAUCUAGCAAUACCGCGUAAGUGCAGAAGGAGUUCGGGUUGUAGAACGCUGUAGUUGGGAAAGAAAAGCAGCAGGAUCAUACCCCGCUGUUCUGACGGUACCUAAAGAAUAAGCACCGGCUAACUUCGUG